ACUCAGAGGCUGGUGGCUCUUUCUGGAGCAUUCAAUGCUUCAAUGUGUUUGUAGGAGGGAGGCCUGUGUGGGAAGGCUCACCGCCCGUUCCCCAGGACACAGCAGAGUACAACUGCUAGAAUUCCCUGAAAACGCAGCAACUGCUGGACCGGGUCACCGGGAAACGUUUCCGAGGGAACUCACAGCUUGAAGAAAGGGCUCCGGGGCAUCUGGACAGCAGCUUUCCCACCUUCUCCAGCAGGUGCCUCCCGCUGUCACCGGACCAGCCAGGUCCUUAAAAGGCAAGGCUCCCGCUCACCUAAGCGCAGGAAGGUCCGUGGGCAGGGCGUGGUGGUCCCGGGGACCAGAAGCUGCUGGCUGCCUUCCUGCUCACAGUGGGGCUGGAAGCGCCGCCCCCACCCCCCGCUGGCUCCUGACACACUGGAGGUCUGAGUGUGCGGCAGCCCAGGACCCGACAAGCCCAGGCCCACGGCCUCUGGUGGCUGUUCUGCUCCGCCAAGGGCCCUCACCGCUCUUACUGCUCCCUUAGGUAGAUCAUUCGGGGUUCGUGGAUGCUGCAGGAGCAACCCGAGAGGCGGACGUUCAGUGGCCGUUGCCCAGCAGUCCCGUGGUACCUCGGGCUGCCCGUCCCCACCUUCCAGGCGAGCCCGACGCCAGAGAGGUCAUUAACAGAGGACGGCCAUGGGUCGGUGUCUGGAGUGAGCACAGAUGUUCUCUUUCACUUACCUUAACUAAACGGUGUAUAGAUCAGAAUUCCCCCGAAGGCAGUUUUACCAUAAGGAGUUACAUUUGUACAGUUAAAACAUCGGCACAUAAAGUAUGUCUCAUAGACAGCCGGCUCCCUCCCGCUUUGGGGGUGAACAGAACCGAGCUGCUUGGGGGAGGGUGGUGCGUGGUAUGCACAGUAGGAGUCAGGACGGGGGCCACAGUGAGGAGCUUUCACAUUCCAGUCUCAGGUCUCAGAGCCAGCGAGAGAGAAGGCAAUCCCUUCAGGGCUGUGUCACCUGUCCCCUCCCCUCCCCUUUCCCCUCCUGUCCCCUCCCGGUCCCUGCACAAGCGGAAAAGCGCCCCCCACAGCACUGCCUGCUCCCUUCAUUGAUAAAGCCAGCACAGGCCAUCACCCAUGUUGCUCCUAUGGAAGGAAGUCUUGCACAACCAAGGCGAAGUGUGGUAACGUGAAAGUUAAGAAAUGCAUGAGAACAGAACUGUGCUUAGUCGGUACAUGCAAGUCAUCCCCAAACGUUCUGGGGUGCCCAGCACUGCUCGGAGCUGCGAAAAGUGCUGAUGUGUAGUGUGGGGACACUUGCCCAUUAUCAACAUCGCUGAGACUUUUAGAAAGUUAAUCAUUGUUUACAGCAGCUUUGAAUUGGGGGCUCUUCAUUUAAGGAACUGUUCCAGAUCAUAUGAUAUCUUUGGGUUGGUUUUUUUUUUGUUUUGUUUUUUUUUUUGGUACAGAUUAUGUAAAGGGAAGUCAGUGUAAGGGGCCUGGAAACUCAAGUGUGGAGGAACUGACAGUGACAGUGGGCAUUCUAGUUAAAUCUGCUUUUAUUGACAAUUCUGCAGUGACCGCUCAGCCCAGCAUGGCUCCCAUAAGGACAUGUGGCAUCCAGACUCUUCCUUAGUCUCUUUUUACCCGCAGACAUUUAAAGAAUCCUCAUUAAAACUACGUAGAGUGAAGCAGAGAGACCACGUUAUAAAAUAAACCUAGUUAAAUACA
This is a long non-coding RNA of Hyaena hyaena (striped hyena), 1717 nucleotides long. RefSeq lists it as uncharacterized. The record is from RefSeq and is a predicted model, not a curated record. The transcript is spliced from 2 exons. NCBI's taxonomy places the organism in Eukaryota, Metazoa, Chordata, Mammalia, Carnivora, Hyaenidae.